UAGGGAAUCUUCCACAAUGGGCGCAAGCCUGAUGGAGCAACACCGCGUGAGUGAAGAAGGGUUUCGGCUCGUAAAGCUCUGUUGUUAAAGAAGAACACGUAUGAGAGUAACUGUUCAUACGUUGACGGUAUCUAACCAGCAAGUCACGGCUAACUACGUGCCAG
Molecule: ribosomal RNA, 164 nt
Filed under: uncultured bacterium
Lineage: Bacteria
Description: partial 16S rRNA
Rfam family: Bacterial small subunit ribosomal RNA
Source: RNAcentral